AGUUAUCCAAAAGCAGUGUGUAAGACUGGUGGAGGAGAACAUGCCAAGAUGCAUGAAAACUGUGAUUAAAAACCAGGGUUAUUCCACCAAAAUUGAUUUCAGAACUCUUAAAACUUUGAAUAUGAUCUUGUUUUAUUUGCAUUAUUUGAGGUCUGAAACCUCUGCAUUUUUUUUGUUAUUUCUGCCAUUUCUCAUUUUCUGCAAAUAAAUGCUCUAAAUGACAAUAUUUUUAUUUGGAAUUUGGGAGAAAUGUUUAUAGAAUAAAACAACAGUGUUAAUUUUACUCAAACAUAUACCUAUAAAUAGCAAAAAUAGAUAAACUAGUUCAGAAACUGAAGUGGCCUAUUAAUUUUUUCCAGAGCUGUAUAUGAGGUCAGAACAACCAUCAUUCAUGUGUUUAGGGUUGUUGUCCUGUUGGAACAUCCAGACAUAUCAUCUGUCUGUCUGAUUGUUUGUCCUGAUGUUAAAAAACUCUGACCUUUCUUAUUUAUUACUCCAUUUACUUAGCUCAAUGAACCAGUUACAAAUCAAAGCAUGAUGCUACCUCCACCAUGCUUAACAGUUGGUACAAUGUGUUUGGGAUGAAAUGCCUUUAUUCCUACAUAUAUUUUUUCCUCAGCUGACCACUUGACUUUCCUCUUUUCACAUGUGACUUGCAGUAUUUAAAUGCUCUCUAACUACAAUCCUUGUCUUGUUUGUGUGUAGGGAUUUUAUUCUAUGAGGAGUUUUAUGGUUUAUCAAUUAUAUACAUCCUUAUGUUUGUGUGUGGGUGUUUGUUAGCGUUUAGUGGAGUGUUUUUGAUCGCAAGGACUCGACCCAAAAUCAAAACCGACAGAGUUUUCUUCUCUAUGGGACAAGUUUCAAGUAAGAAACAUACAGACAAGGUGCAGCCGGAGAAGAAAGAAAGUAAGCAUGGAGCUCUGGCUUCCAAACUGGUCUGUAACAGCAGCACAGAGCAGGAGGACAUCUAGUGGAGCAACAAAGAGCUGCACGAAUGACUAUAAGAAUAGGGCAGACUGAGUACUGAGUGUGCAAUUGUGAGUAUAUGAGUGUGGAGACUGUGUGUGUGUGUGUGUGUGUGUGUGUNCACACACACACACACACACACACACACACACACACACACACACACACUCACUGCAGCUUCCCUCCCACAUACUCACUCACUGUUUCACUAGUCAGGUGGAAGCAAAGAAACUCUGCUGUUUU
Molecule: long non-coding RNA, 1209 nt
Filed under: Astyanax mexicanus (Mexican tetra)
Lineage: Eukaryota; Metazoa; Chordata; Actinopteri; Characiformes; Acestrorhamphidae
Description: lncRNA (ENSAMXG00005012992.1)
Source: RNAcentral